UACGGAGGAGGCAAGCGUUAUCCGGAAUUAUUGGGCGUAAAGCGUCCGUAGGUGGGUGAGGAAGUCUGCUGUUAAAGAGUGAGGCUUAACCUCAUAAGGGCAGUGGAAACUCUUCGUCUAGAGUGCGACAGGGGCAAGGGGAAUUCCUAGUGUAGCGGUGAAAUGCGUAGAGAUUAGGAAGAACACCGGUGGCGAAAGCGCCUUGCUGGGUCUGCACUGACACUGAGGGACGAAAGCUAGGGGAGCGAAUGGG
Molecule: ribosomal RNA, 253 nt
Filed under: uncultured bacterium
Lineage: Bacteria
Description: partial 16S ribosomal RNA
Rfam family: Bacterial small subunit ribosomal RNA
Source: RNAcentral